This 457-nucleotide ribosomal RNA is filed under the name uncultured bacterium. Its description in RNAcentral is "partial 16S ribosomal RNA". It matches the Rfam family "Bacterial small subunit ribosomal RNA", at positions 339 to 795 of the family's 1533-position model. The record is from RNAcentral.
CUACGGGACGCUGCAGUGAGGAAUAUUGCGCAAUGGGCGAAAGCCUGACGCAGCGAUGCCGCGUGAGUGAAGAAACCCUUAGGGGUGUAAAGCUCUUUUUUAUGGGACGAAUGCCCGUUUCGGCGGGAGCGACGGUACCAUGAGAAUAAGCACCGGCUAACUCCGUGCCAGCAGCCGCGGUAAUACGGGAGGGUGCAAGCGUUGUCCGGAUUUACUGGGCGUAAAGGGCGUGUAGGCGGGAUGAUCAGUCGGAGGUGGAAUUUGCACAGCUCAACUGGCAAAGUGCCUUCGAUACUGUCAUCCUUGAGUGAAGGAGGGGGUAGUGGAAUUCCCGGUGUAGAGGUGAAAUUCGUAGAUAUCAGGAGGAACACCGGUGGCGAAGGCGACUUCCUGGACCAAUACUGACGCUGAGGCGCGAAGGCGUGGGGAGCAAACAGGAUUAGAUACCCGCGUAGUC